GAUGAACGCUGGCGGCGUGCCUAAUACAUGCAAGUCGAGCGAACAGAUGAGGAGCUUGCUCCUCUGACGUUAGCGGCGGACGGGUGAGUAACACGUGGAUAACCUACCUAUAAGACUGGGAUAACUUCGGGAAACCGGAGAUAAUACCGGAUAAUAUAUUGAACCGCAUGGUUCAAUAGUGAAAGACGGUUUUGCCGUCUCUUAUAGAUGGAUCCGCGCCGCAUUAGCUAGUUGGUAAGGUAACGGCUUACCAAGGCAACGAUGCGUAGCCGACCUGAGAGGGUGAUCGGCCACACUGGAACUGAGACACGGUCCAGACUCCUACGGGAGGCAGCAGUAGGGAAUCUUCCACAAUGGGCGAAAGCCUGACGGAGCAACGCCGCGUGGGUGAUGAAGGUCUUCGGAUCGUAAAACUCUGUUAUUAGGGAAGAACAAAUGUGUAAGUAACUAUGCACGUCUUGACGGUACCUAAUCAAAAAGCCACGGCUAACUACGUG
RNAcentral lists this ribosomal RNA (497 nucleotides) under uncultured bacterium. Its description in RNAcentral is "partial 16S ribosomal RNA". It matches the Rfam family "Bacterial small subunit ribosomal RNA", at positions 28 to 507 of the family's 1533-position model. The record is from RNAcentral.